Oryza barthii is the source of this 205-nucleotide non-coding RNA. Lineage: Eukaryota; Viridiplantae; Streptophyta; Magnoliopsida; Poales; Poaceae. The record is from Rfam.
AAAAAAACAAACUCUGGGUUUCCGUGUCCAACUUUGACUGUCCGUCUUAUAUAAAUUUUUUUUAUAAUUCGUAUUUUCAUUGUUGUUAGAUGAUAAAACAUAAUUAAUAUUUUAUACGUGACUUGUCUUUUUAAUUUUUUUCAUAAUUUUUUCAAAUAAGACGGACGAUCGAACGUUGAACACAGAAAUCAGGGUUUGUCUUUUU